This 432-nucleotide unclassified non-coding RNA is filed under the name soil metagenome. Its description in RNAcentral is "partial contains 5.8S ribosomal RNA, internal transcribed spacer 2, and large subunit ribosomal RNA". The stretch from base 1 to 120 matches the Rfam family "5.8S ribosomal RNA", at positions 35 to 154 of the family's 154-position model. The record is from RNAcentral.
GAUGAAGAACGUAGCGAAAUGCGAUACGUAAUGUGAAUUGCAGAAUUCAGUGAAUCAUCGAAUCUUUGAACGCAUAUUGCGCUCUCUGGUAUUCCGGAGAGCAUGCUUGUUUGAGUAUCAGUAAACACCUCAACUUCCAUAUCUUUUUUGAAAUGGGAGUUGGACUUGAGUGAUCCCAACGCUUUUCCUCACCGAAAAGUGGCGGGUUACUUGAAAUGCAGGUGCAGCUGGACUUUUCUCUGAGCUAUAAGCAUAUCUAUUUAGUCUGCCUAAAAACAGAUUAUUACCUUUGCUGCAGCUAACAUAAAGGAGAUUAGUUCUUGUGCUGACUGAUGCAGGCUUCACAAAGACAGGCUUCGGCCGACUUUGUAAACUCGAUCUCAAAUCAAGUAAGACUACCCGCUGAACUUAAGCAUAUCAAUAAGCGGAGGA